CCUCUUCCCCGCUGCCGCACAGAAACAGCAACCGCUCCAAUCGACGUAUCGGAUUGUUCGAAGUAUUCGGAAAGCGGAGUUUAAACAGAUCUGGAUCCACCUACUGGGGAAGAGAAUUCAUCAACUGAUUAAAUCCUUGGACUAAACCAGGCCAAGAGAGAAGGGGUUAGGCUGUGCAACUAAGUGGCUUACUUCAAAAAUACUCUCCAGACUUCAGUCGAGGCUCGGGUGGAUAAAGACGGUUCCUAUUUAAUGGACUAAUACAUUCCUGAAUCCUGCAUACAGUGGUAAUCAGGACCCAAGGAGAUAGAAUAAAAUACUUUUCCUUUCUCAGGUGGAUAGGAAGAAAUUGAAUUUUCAGGGCUUAUUAAUUUUCUCUGCAUGUCGUCAAUGUUUUUGCUAGUGGGUUCAGGUGAAAAGGUCUGUUUUAUGAGGCCAAUUUUUAUAGCAAACUUGGGGAGAUCCCCUUUUGCAAAUGAGGGCUUGGUGUUCUUGCAGGGUGUACACAUCUUUUCUGCACUGCAGUGCAGCCAUCAGCUGUCAUUUUUUUUUAUUAAAUGGAAUUUGUUAAGCACUUACUAUGAGUCAGGUACUGUACUAAGUGCUGGGGUAGAUAGGUAGAUACAAGUUGAUCAGGUUAACUGAUUUUACUGUACCAUUCAGUAUCACAAAAACAAAAGUCCUUGUGAUUGUGAAGGGUCAUAAUAAAGCUAAAUAUUAUCAACA
Ornithorhynchus anatinus (platypus) is the source of this 726-nucleotide long non-coding RNA. RefSeq lists it as uncharacterized. NCBI's taxonomy places the organism in Eukaryota, Metazoa, Chordata, Mammalia, Monotremata, Ornithorhynchidae. The record is from RefSeq and is a predicted model, not a curated record. The transcript is spliced from 2 exons.